UGCCAGCAGCCGCGGUAAUACGAAGGGACCUAGCGUUAAUCGGAAUUACUGGGCGUAAAGCGUGCGUAGGCGGUUUAUUAAGUCAGAUGUGAAAGCCCCGGGCUUAACCUGGGAACUGCAUUUGAUACUAUCUUACUAGAGAACGAGAGAAGUUGGCGGAAUUCCAAGUGUAGAGGUGAAAUUCGUAGAUAUUUGGAAGAACACCAGUGGCGAAGGCGGCUCACUGGCUCGAUACUGACGCUGAGGUGCGAAAGUGUGGGGAGCAAACAGGAUUAGAUA
RNAcentral lists this ribosomal RNA (279 nucleotides) under uncultured bacterium. RNAcentral describes it as "partial 16S ribosomal RNA". It matches the Rfam family "Bacterial small subunit ribosomal RNA", at positions 506 to 784 of the family's 1533-position model. The record is from RNAcentral.